AUCCCCGCUGCCACCCCGGAAUCCGAGUCCCCCUACGCGUCUUCCUCGUGGGCGUCCCUUGCCGAGGACCUACUCGACCUGAUCGGGUGGCGGGUGCUGACCGGCGACCUGCUCGACUACGUCCGCCUCCGCGCCGCCUGCCGCCAGUGGCGCUCAUCCACCGUCUCCCCGGGCGGCCGCAGCCUCCACGACCCGCGCUUCUACCCGCGCCGGUGGAUGCUGCUGCCCGAGGGCCACGGCCUCCACCCCGGCCACACCAGGCUACACGGGUACAUCCGGUUCAUCAACCUGUCCACCGGCGCCAUCGUCCGGUCAAAUCUCCCGAUCUUCAGCGACCACUGCGUCCUCGACUCCGUCGACGGGAUCCUGGUGCUGCAGAGGGACCACGACACCGCCGUGCGCCUUCUCCACCCCUUCACCGGCGACAUCGCGGACCUCCCGCCGCUCGCGUCCCUCAGGACGAUGCUGACACCCGGACAGCAGCAGAUAUUGGACUGGUCGUUUUUCAGGACCAUAUGCGCGACCUCCUUCACUGUGAGCGCAGAUGGGGUCGUCACCGCCAUGAUUGCUCUCUUCUAUUUAGGGCGGGUAGCCUGUGCCACCUCCAUGGACCAGCAAUGGAGGCUCUCGACAUGGAGCGUAUCAAAAAACUGGAGGCCAAUGUCGUUCCAGGGCAAGAUAUACACGUUGCACUGUGACACAUUGGACAGUGAGCUUCAGAUUUCCCAGAUUGACCUGCCGGGGCUCGGGGAGAAGGAGGAUUUUGGUGAUCUGUUGUGUUAUCUACCGGAACCAAAGUUGAUCGCCACAUUUCCGGCAGGCAGACUUCACAUGCCUCACCACCUCGGAGAAUGCGACUCGGAGAUCAUAUUGAUCGGGCGUGAAGAAUGUAGGCUCUCUUUUCACAUUGGGGUUUACAGAGUAGCUGACAUUUUGGCAGACAAGAUUACACCAGUAACAAGCAUCGGAGGAAAUGAUUUGUUUGUUGAAGACAGGGUUCUGAGUGUGAGCAGUAGAGUGCACCCUACCAUUGUGGCUGACGCCAUUGUACUUCUCCAUCAGAAGGAAGUAUAUCUUGGGCAAUACCACCUUGCUAGUAGGACAUGGUUGCCAACAGCAGAUGGGGGUCUCAAAGGUGCUUCUGUACCCAGUCCUUGUAGCCUCAUUUACCAUAUUUUCACAUGUUGCUAUCGUAUUCUUUGGUGA
This 1206-nucleotide ribosomal RNA is filed under the name Triticum aestivum (bread wheat). RNAcentral describes it as "partial small subunit ribosomal RNA". The record is from RNAcentral. Lineage: Eukaryota; Viridiplantae; Streptophyta; Magnoliopsida; Poales; Poaceae.